This is a long non-coding RNA of Cyprinus carpio (common carp), 925 nucleotides long. RefSeq lists it as uncharacterized. The record is from RefSeq and is a predicted model, not a curated record. Lineage: Eukaryota; Metazoa; Chordata; Actinopteri; Cypriniformes; Cyprinidae. The transcript has 3 exons.
CGCGGCUGUUUUGAAGUGGACUGAUGAACACAGCCUUGUUCUCAUCCACUGAUGAAGACUUCUUCACUGAAGGCAUAAUGCUGCAAUCAAAGGGUUUCAGUAAUCAUGCUCUUGAAGAGCUGGCACACUGUUGUCUGGUGUGACACACCUGUGGACAGAUUGUCCCAAACAUGCUCUCCUGCACUGGCUUCUGUGUUUUGGUAUUCCAGUUUAUCAUCGUCAUGAUCCUCACAACUUCUGGAUCAACAAUGUCCUCAUUCAGAAGACGGAGGUUGUGGAGCACUGCACAGCAUGCAGCAACAUCUGGCACAAAGGCAGGACUCACCAGCUUGUCUUCAGCAUCUCGAAGGCUCUCUCAACAAUGUUCCGUGCACAAGCAUCAUUGGUGUUGAAACAAAGCUGUAAAGGUUUCUGUACAGGCUGUCUGUAUGGUGUGAUGAGGCAGGUGGGUGCACUCAAGCAAGGACACUCACCAUCUCCCAGGAUGCAUUUUCCUGCAGGUGGAUACAGGCGGCCAGUGUAAACAGGGCUGUUCUCCAGCACCAUGGCAUCGUACACAGACCCAGGAUACUCAACAAAGAUAUCAAGGUACUUCCCCUGGUGGUGGCCUGCAGCUGAACAGAUUGAAACCAUUUCCUGUUGAAAUAACAUUGGGUUUCACUUGCCGGUGGUUCAAUUUGUAUGUGACAGCAUCUAUUGUUCCAGCUACCACAAGGAAACCUGGUCCCACUACCUCCAGGUCAUCUGCGGUGGAGAGGGCAAUCAGCCUCCUCAAAAUCUCCAUGACAGACCUGCUCAUUCUGUGCACAAUGUUAUGCAGCUCUUGGAUGUCGAAGGCCAGUGACAGCAGCCUUUAUGAUGCUGCUCACAGUCUGUAAAUAUGUCGGGGGUUUUUUAGAAUGUAAUUUCAAUAGGUUACACUACA